GAGCGCGCAAGAGCUGAAAAUCACAUAUAAAGGCGAUUUCCUGGGGAAGAAGCAACCAAAUUCAGGAAACCCAUAACCAGAAAUCCAAAGAAUUGGUAGCAGAAAGAAAAGGGUAUUGAAAUGCUGAAUUUGGCAAGUUGAAUCAGCGAGCGAGAAGUAGGAAUGGAUGUGAUAAAGACGCAGCAAAUAUCAGCGGGACCGAUAGAGAAGGUGAUAAUGCACCACUGGUUCUCCUGAAUGUCGUCGAUAACUACAACAGAGUCGCUAAGGACGCUCGCAAACUCGUUUUUGGUGUCUUGUUUGGUUCUUCUUUCAAAAGCACUGUUGAUGUCACCAACAGCUAUGAAGGUACAACUCUUGUUUUUCUCUCCGUACAGUUUCUAGAUCUCUUUUGCUUUUGAUCCUUCAAUCGUUCAAUUUGUGUUUGAAAAUUCUUUUGUGGGUUAUACUGAUUUAUAGAUCAUUAUAUGUUAAUAAUGGAAUUUGGUUUGGUAGUGAGUGUUAGAUAUUGAGAAUCAUGGCCAUGCUGAUGCGUUUUUUUAUCCCAUUUGGGAUAUGGACCAAAUAAAAGCUCAUAUUGUAAUUUCUCAGUGCCAUUUGAAGAAGAUGAUAAGGACCCAAGCAUCUGGUUUCUUGACCACAAUUAUCAUGACCAAGGAGAAUGUGUUGGGUUGCUAGUGGUACAGCACAGGUCCAAAACUGAGGGAAAAUGACCUGGACAUUUAUGGACUAUUUAAUGAGUAACAUCAUCACCUGUGUUUUAUAAAGUUAUUUGUUCUGUUUCUUGAUGGAAAUAGACAUCUCUCACUUGGACUAUCUGCCUCUUGGCAAAAUAUAUCUAUUUUUUUCUUUGAUCUUUUCUCCUCAGGUUUGCUUUAGUAUUAAUUUUUCUGCUUUAUUAAUAAUUUUUUGUUUGCCAUUGCAAUUAUGUUCCAAAUCCUGUCUUGGUCAUAAUUGAUGUCCAACCGGUAGAGCUGGGAAUUCCCACAAAAGCUUACUGUGCAGUUGAAGAGGUGAAAGAGUUAAAGAUAUCAGUUCUGAAAACCAAAGCUGAAAUAUGUAAUUGUUCUGUUGUGUUAAAUGAGUUAUUAUAAGUAGAAUAUGAGACAGUGAAAAGGAUUCUGUGGCUAGUCUUUCUUUAUAACAAUGCCUCCAUGUGUCAUGUGUGCUUGGAGGUAAACUGAUGGUGUGCAUUCCUGGACAUUAGCUGAUGGUUAUGUAUGGUUGCAGAAUGCAACCCAGAAAUGUCAGAAGGUGGUUGUGCAAGUGCCAUCAGAAAUUGCCGCUCAUGAAGUUGACGAAAUUGGUAUGCCAUAUGAAAGCAAUCAUUUUUUCUUGUUUGCAAAAUAGAACGAAAAUAGCCUUCUAUUUGCAAAAGCUUCUCUGCCAACCAAAGAGAGUAUAAUGAUUCCUGGUGAACUCAAUGUGUGCCAUUAUUUGGUCCGGCUAGCUCUUUAGCAAGUUUAGUUGGACUGAUUUGUUAAAUUGUUCAUGACUGUUACUCCUUGUGAAUCCACCAACAUGUGUUAUAUGAACAUUCGUCGUAUGAUUUA
This is a long non-coding RNA of Hevea brasiliensis (rubber tree), 1553 nucleotides long. RefSeq lists it as uncharacterized. The record is from RefSeq and is a predicted model, not a curated record. NCBI's taxonomy places the organism in Eukaryota, Viridiplantae, Streptophyta, Magnoliopsida, Malpighiales, Euphorbiaceae. The transcript has 2 exons.